RNAcentral lists this ribosomal RNA (460 nucleotides) under uncultured bacterium. Its description in RNAcentral is "partial 16S ribosomal RNA". It matches the Rfam family "Bacterial small subunit ribosomal RNA", at positions 338 to 795 of the family's 1533-position model. The record is from RNAcentral.
CCUACGGGAGGCAGCAGUGAGGAAUAUUGGUCAAUGGCCGUAAGGCUGAACCAGCCAAGUCGCGUGAAGGAAGAAGGAUCUAUGGUUUGUAAACUUCUUUUAUAGGGGAAUAAAGGUAUCCACGUGUGGAUAUUUGCAUGUACCCUAUGAAUAAGCAUCGGCUAACUCCGUGCCAGCAGCCGCGGUAAUACGGAGGAUGCGAGCGUUAUCCGGAUUUAUUGGGUUUAAAGGGUGCGUAGGUUGUUUUUUAAGUCAGCGGUGAAAGUUUGUGGCUCAACCAUAAAAUUGCCGUUGAAACUGGAAGACGUGAGUGUGUUUGAGGUAGGCGGAAUGCGUGGUGUAGCGGUGAAAUGCAUAGAUAUCACGCAGAACUCCGAUUGCGAAGGCAGCUUACUAAGCCAUAACUGACACUGAAGCGCGAAAGCGUGGGGAUCAAACAGGAUUAGAGACCCCGGUAGUC